AUUGAACGCUGGCGGCAUGCUUUACACAUGCAAGUCGAACGGUAACAGGCCGCAAGGUGCUGACGAGUGGCGAACGGGUGAGUAAUGCAUCGGAACGUGCCCAGUCGUGGGGGAUAACGCAGCGAAAGCUGUGCUAAUACCGCAUACGAUCUAUGGAUGAAAGCGGGGGACCGUAAGGCCUCGCGCGAUUGGAGCGGCCGAUGUCAGAUUAGGUAGUUGGUGGGGUAAAGGCUCACCAAGCCAACGAUCUGUAGCUGGUCUGAGAGGACGACCUGCCACACUGGGACUGAGACACGGCCCAGACUCCUACGGGAGGCAGCAGUGGGGAAUUUUGGACAAUGGGCGCAAGCCUGAUCCAGCAAUGCCGCGUGCAGGAAGAAGGCCUUCGGGUUGUAAACUGCUUUUGUACGGAACGAAAAGGUUUGGGUUAAUACCCUGGGCCGAUGACGGUACCGUAAGAAUAAGCACCGGCUAACUACGUGCCAGCCGCCGCGGUGA
Molecule: ribosomal RNA, 498 nt
Filed under: uncultured bacterium
Lineage: Bacteria
Description: partial 16S ribosomal RNA
Rfam family: Bacterial small subunit ribosomal RNA
Source: RNAcentral